GAUGAACGCUGGCGGCGUGCCUAAUACAUGCAAGUCGAGCGAACAGACGAGGAGCUUACUCCUCUGACGUUAGCGGCGGCCGGGUGAGUAACACGUGGAUAACCUACCUAUAAGACUGGGAUAACUUCGGGAAACCGGAGCUAAUACCGGAUAACAUGUUGAACCGCAUGGUUCAACAGUGAAAGACGGUCUUGCUGUCACUUAUAGAUGGAUCCGCGUCGCAUUAGCUAGUUGGCAAGGUAACGGCUUACCAAGGCAACGAUGCGUAGCCGACCUGAGAGGGUGAUCGGCCACACUGGAACUGAGACACGGUCCAGACUCCUACGGGAGGCAGCAGUAGGGAAUCUUCCGCAAUGGGCGAAAGCCUGACGGAGCAACGCCGCGUGAGUGAAGAAGGUCUUCGGACCGUAAAACUCUGUUAUUAGGGAAGAACAAAUGUGUAAGUAACUAUGCACGUCUUGACGGUACCUAAUCAGAAAGCCUCGGCUAACUACGUG
RNAcentral lists this ribosomal RNA (497 nucleotides) under uncultured bacterium. RNAcentral describes it as "partial 16S ribosomal RNA". It matches the Rfam family "Bacterial small subunit ribosomal RNA", at positions 28 to 507 of the family's 1533-position model. The record is from RNAcentral.